This 1021-nucleotide ribosomal RNA is filed under the name uncultured bacterium. RNAcentral's name for it is "bacterial SSU rRNA". It matches the Rfam family "Bacterial small subunit ribosomal RNA", at positions 60 to 1073 of the family's 1533-position model. The record is from RNAcentral.
AGUCGAGCGGCAGCGCGGGGGCAACCCUGGCGGCGAGCGGCGAACGGGUGAGUAACACAUCGGAACGUACCCAGUUGUGGGGGAUAGCCCGGCGAAAGCCGGAUUAAUACCGCAUACGACCUGAGGGUGAAAGGGGGGGAUCGCAAGACCUCUCGCAGUUGGAGCGGCCGAUGGCGGAUUAGCUAGUUGGUGGGGUAAAGGCUCACCAAGGCGACGAUCCGUAGCUGGUCUGAGAGGACGACCAGCCACACUGGAACUGAGACACGGUCCAGACUCCUACGGGAGGCAGCAGUGGGGAAUUUUGGACAAUGGGGGCAACCCUGAUCCAGCCAUUCCGCGUGAGUGAAGAAGGCCUUCGGGUUGUAAAGCUCUUUCGGCAGGAACGAAACGGUGUGGGCCAAUACCCCAUAUCAAUGACGGUACCUGAAGAAGAAGCACCGGCUAACUACGUGCCAGCAGCCGCGGUAAUACGUAGGGUGCGAGCGUUAAUCGGAAUUACUGGGCGUAAAGCGUGCGCAGGCGGUUCUAUAAGACAGAUGUGAAAUCCCCGGGCUUAACCUGGGAACUGCGUUUGUGACUGUAGGACUCGAGUGUGGCAGAGGGGGGUGGAAUUCCACGUGUAGCAGUGAAAUGCGUAGAGAUGUGGAGGAACACCGAUGGCGAAGGCAGCCCCCUGGGUUAACACUGACGCUCAUGCACGAAAGCGUGGGGAGCAAACAGGAUUAGAUACCCUGGUAGUCCACGCCCUAAACGAUGCGAACUAGGUGUUUGGAGAAGGAGACUUCUUUAGUACCGUAGCUAACGCGUGAAGUUCGCCGCCUGGGGAGUACGGUCGCAAGAUUAAAACUCAAAGGAAUUGACGGGGACCCGCACAAGCGGUGGAUGAUGUGGGUUAAUUCGAUGCAACGCGAAAACCUUACCUACCCUUGACAUGCCGCGAAUCCUGCAGAGAUGUGGUGUGCUCGAAAGAGAGCGCGGACACAGGUGCUGCAUGGCUGUCGUCAGCUCGUGUCGUGGAGAU